GGAGAGGUGGCAGAGCGGUUGAAUGCACCGGUCUUGAAAACCGGCAGGGGUUCACGCCCCUCGUGGGUUCGAAUCCCACCCUCUCCGCCA
Molecule: transfer RNA, 90 nt
Filed under: Salinisphaera shabanensis
Lineage: Bacteria; Pseudomonadati; Pseudomonadota; Gammaproteobacteria; Salinisphaerales; Salinisphaeraceae
Also listed under: 9 other names
Description: tRNA-Ser
Rfam family: tRNA
About the family: Transfer RNA (tRNA) molecules are approximately 80 nucleotides in length. Their secondary structure includes four short double-helical elements and three loops (D, anti-codon, and T loops).
Source: RNAcentral